GUGCCAGCCGCCGCGGUAAUACGGAGGGUGCGAGCGUUAAUCGGAAUUACUGGGCGUAAAGCGUACGCAGGCGGUUUGUUAAGCGAGAUGUGAAAGCCCCGGGCUCAACCUGGGAACUGCAUUUCGAACUGGCAAACUAGAGUGUGAUAGAGGGUGGUAGAAUUUCAGGUGUAGCGGUGAAAUGCGUAGAGAUCUGAAGGAAUACCGAUGGCGAAGGCAGCCACCUGGGUCAACACUGACGCUCAUGUACGAAAGCGUGGGGAGCAAACAGG
RNAcentral lists this ribosomal RNA (272 nucleotides) under uncultured prokaryote. RNAcentral describes it as "partial 16S ribosomal RNA". It matches the Rfam family "Bacterial small subunit ribosomal RNA", at positions 505 to 776 of the family's 1533-position model. The record is from RNAcentral.